CAGCAGCCGCGGGAAUACAGAGGGUGCGAGCGUUAAUCGGAUUUACUGGGCGUAAAGCGUGCGUAGGCGGCUUCUUAAGUCGGAUGUGAAAUCCCUGAGCUUAACUUAGGAAUUGCAUUCGAUACUGGGAAGCUAGAGUAUGGGAGAGGAUGGUAGAAUUCCAGGUGUAGCGGUGAAAUGCGUAGAGAUCUGGAGGAAUACCGAUGGCGAAGGCAGCCAUCUGGCCUAAUACUGACGCUGAGGUACGAAAGCAUGGGGAGCAAACAGGAUUAGAUACCCCGGUAGUCCCUGUCUCUAUACC
This 301-nucleotide ribosomal RNA is filed under the name uncultured bacterium. Its description in RNAcentral is "partial 16S ribosomal RNA". It matches the Rfam family "Bacterial small subunit ribosomal RNA", at positions 509 to 808 of the family's 1533-position model. The record is from RNAcentral.